Small nucleolar RNA from Leptonychotes weddellii (Weddell seal), 154 nucleotides. NCBI's taxonomy places the organism in Eukaryota, Metazoa, Chordata, Mammalia, Carnivora, Phocidae. The record is from RefSeq and is a predicted model, not a curated record.
UCUGCACAUUGUUAGAGCUUGGAGUUGAGGCCACUGGCUGGCCGAUGAACUCACAAGUGGAGGUAGUGUGCUAUAUGAGGAGCACAUCUUUCGCUAACAACGCAAGGGUCUCUGGUCCAAUGAGUGGAGUUUGAUAGUAAUUCUUGCCACAAGU